GGCCGCUUCAAGCGCUGCAAGCGCCCGCCGCAGAGUCUGCAGUACCAGCAGUCUGACACGCAGAACAAUUACGAAGUGGAUCAGAACGUGCAGCCGGGCCAAGAGUCUUUGUGUUACUACCCGCUGGCGCAGGAGGCGCAGCUGCCGGUGGCGUACAGCCAGCUGGUGGGGGAGGCGCACGGCGUGCUGGCGCCGUGGCCGGAGUUCGGGGGCGGGGGCGCGGGCGCGGGGCUGCACUACGCCGGCAGCGAGCUCGCCACCAGUUGAGGACACCCCUCAACACAAGACGUGAGGUGUGGUUAAAGUAAGUUAUCUUACAAAACUCUUCUACUUGCCCUAGAUACGCUGGAUCUUUUAUUUCAUAAAUGUAGUGAAUGAUCAAUUUUGUAAUGCCGGAAUGGUGAUGUUUAUUUUUAAUUUACAUUAUUCCUAUCCGUCCAAGUAUUUCAUGACAUACUUUUUUCAAAAAAA
This is a long non-coding RNA of Papilio polytes (common Mormon), 471 nucleotides long. RefSeq lists it as uncharacterized. The transcript has 2 exons. The record is from RefSeq and is a predicted model, not a curated record. NCBI's taxonomy places the organism in Eukaryota, Metazoa, Arthropoda, Insecta, Lepidoptera, Papilionidae.